GCAUAUCAAUAAGCGGAGGAAAAGAAACCAACAGGGAUUGCCCUAGUAACGGCGAGUGAAGCGGCAACAGCUCAAAUUUGAAAUCUGGCGCAAGCCCGAGUUGUAAUUUGUAGAGGAUGUUUCUGGCGACGUGCCUUCCGAGUUCCCUGGAACGGGACGCCAUAGAGGGUGAGAGCCCCGUACGGUUGGAUGCCUAGCCUCUGUGAAACUCCUUCGACGAGUCGAGUAGUUUGGGAAUGCUGCUCUAAAUGGGAGGUAUACGUCUUCUAAAGCUAAAUACCGGCCAGAGACCGAUAGCGCACAAGUAGAGUGAUCGAAAGAUGAAAAGCACUUUGAAAAGAGGGUUAAAAAGUACGUGAAAUUGUUGAAAGGGAAGCGUUCAUGACCAGACUUGGGCAGGUUGAUCAUCCGUGGUUCUCCGCGGUGCACUCUGCCUGCCCAGGCCAGCAUCAGUUCGCCCCGGGGGAUAAAGGCUCUGGGAAUGUGGCUCCUUCGGGAGUGUUAUAGCCCACUGCGUAAUACCCUGGGGUGGACUGAGGUUCGCGCUCUGCAAGGAUGCUGGCGUAAUGGUCAUCAACGACCCGUCUUGAAACACGGACCAAGGAGUCGUCUUCGUAUGCGAGUGUUCGGGUGUCAAACCCCUACGCGUAAUGAAAGUGAACGUAGGAGAGAGCUUCGGCGCAUCUCCGACCGAUCCUGAUGUUCUCGGAUGGAUUUGAGUAAGAGCAUACGGGGCCGGACCCGAAAGAAGGUGAACUAUGCCUGUAUAGGGUGAAGCCAGAGGAAACUCUGGUGGAGGCUCGCAGCGGUUCUGACGUGCAAAUCGAUCGUCAAAUAUGGGCAUGGGGGCGAAAGACUAAUCGAACCUUCUAGUAGCUGGUUUCCGCCGA
Molecule: ribosomal RNA, 890 nt
Filed under: Clonostachys rosea
Lineage: Eukaryota; Fungi; Ascomycota; Sordariomycetes; Hypocreales; Bionectriaceae
Description: LSU rRNA
Rfam family: Eukaryotic large subunit ribosomal RNA
Source: RNAcentral